Molecule: long non-coding RNA, 231 nt
Filed under: Homo sapiens (human)
Lineage: Eukaryota; Metazoa; Chordata; Mammalia; Primates; Hominidae
Description: LNC_000384
Source: RNAcentral
GGGGGCGGAGAUGCUACCCCAAAAGCUGGAACUUCUUCACUCUUUAUUUCAUUUAUUCGAACCAAAUAGUUAACAAAGUCUCUGGCAGCAUUGCUUUGUGCAUCUUUUUUAUUGGUGGAAUUUCCCAUGCCAGUGUAAUUAUAACCUUCCACCUGAACCUCACACAUGAAUUUCUGCCUGUUUUUGUUCCCCACUGCUCUAAUUUCAUAGGAUGGGGUCAUCUUCCUUUUG